AACAGUGGAAUGCACCUAGCUGAGAUGGUGGGCUUUCUCUGUUAGGUGUCUUCCACAGGGCA
Molecule: microRNA precursor, 62 nt
Organism: Gallus gallus (chicken)
Lineage: Eukaryota; Metazoa; Chordata; Aves; Galliformes; Phasianidae
Source: Ensembl